RNAcentral lists this ribosomal RNA (465 nucleotides) under uncultured bacterium. RNAcentral's name for it is "partial 16S ribosomal RNA". It matches the Rfam family "Bacterial small subunit ribosomal RNA", at positions 28 to 507 of the family's 1533-position model. The record is from RNAcentral.
GACGAACGCUGGCGGCGUGCUUAACACAUGCAAGUCGAACGGAAAGGCCCCUUUGGGGGUACUCGAGUGGCGAACGGGUGAGUAACACGUGAGUAACCUGCCCUUGACUUCGGGAUAACUUCAGGAAACUGGGGCUAAUACCGAAUAGAAAUCCUUGCGGCAUGGUGGGGGUUGGAAAGCUUCGGCGGUUUUGGAGGGACUCGCGGGUUAUCGGCUUGUUGGUGGGGUAGUGGCUUACCAAGGCUUUGACGGGGAGCCGGCCUGAGAGGGCGACCGGCCACACUGGGACUGAGGGAAGGCCCAGACGCCGAAGGGAGGAAGAAGUGGGGAAGCUUGCACAAGGGGCGGAGGCCGGAUGCAGAAAGGCCGCGGGCUGGAAGACGGCCUUGGGGUUGGCAAACGGGUUCAGCAGGGGCGAAGCUUGUGGUGACGGUACCUGCAGAAGAAGCACCGGCUAACUACGUG